Molecule: ribosomal RNA, 433 nt
Filed under: Haplomyxa sp.
Lineage: Eukaryota; Foraminifera; Reticulomyxidae
Description: partial small subunit ribosomal RNA
Rfam family: Eukaryotic small subunit ribosomal RNA
Source: RNAcentral
AGCUCCACUAGCGUAUACUAAAGUUGUUGCAGUUAAAAAGCUCGUAGUUGGAUUUCUGACAUUUUUUAUGUUCCCGGUCGUCUAUUUACGUUCUUCUCUUUACGAGUCGAAAAAGCUAAAAGAUUGGUACUGGCGAACGUGUGUCAUCCUUCCGCUGUCUGUCGUGAUUUCUUUUAUUAGAUUUUUUCGGCAAGGCGCGGAUCGUUUACUUUGAAAAAAUUAGAGUGUUUAAAGCAGUUUCGUAUGAAACAUUGAAUCUCGCAGCAUGGAAUAAUAAGAUAGGACUUUGGUUCUAUUUUGUUGGCUUUCAGGACCAAAGUAAUGAUUGAUAGGGAUCGUUUGGGAGUGCUUCUACUCUAGCGCCAGCGGUGAAAUGCUUGGAUUGCUGGAAGAGAAACUCAUGCGAAAGCAUUCACUAAGGAGAUUUUCUUUA